AGCGAACGUUUGCGGCGGGCUUAACACAUGCAAGUCGAACGAGAAUCCCUUCGGGGAGGAAAGUGGCGCACGGGUGCGUAACACGUGGAUAACCAACCCAUUGGUUUGGGACAACACCGGGAAACUGGUGCUAAUACCAGAUGUGUCGCAGCUGUCUUCAGGCGGUUGCGAGAAAGGCCCGCAAGGGUCGCCAACGGACGGGUCCGCGUCCCAUCAGCUAGUUGGUGAGGUAAUGGCUCACCAAGGCAAAGACGGGUAGCUGGUCUGAGAGGAUGAUCAGCCACACUGGAACUGAGACACGGUCCAGACUCCUACGGGAGGCAGCAGUGGGGAAUAUCGCGCAAUGGGCGAAAGCCUGACGCAGCCACGCCGCGUGAGCGAUGAAGGUCUUCGGAUCGUAAAGCUCUGUGGGGGGAGAAGAAGAAAGCCGGUGAAGAGCCGGCCCUGACGGUAUCCCCUUAGCAAGCACCGGCUAACUCCGUGCCAGCAGCCGCGGUAAAGU
This 502-nucleotide ribosomal RNA is filed under the name uncultured bacterium. RNAcentral describes it as "bacterial SSU rRNA". It matches the Rfam family "Bacterial small subunit ribosomal RNA", at positions 29 to 526 of the family's 1533-position model. The record is from RNAcentral.